Molecule: ribosomal RNA, 497 nt
Filed under: uncultured bacterium
Lineage: Bacteria
Description: partial 16S ribosomal RNA
Rfam family: Bacterial small subunit ribosomal RNA
Source: RNAcentral
GAUGAACGCUGGCGGCGUGCCUAAUACAUGCAAGUCGAGCGAACAGAUGAGGAGCUUGCUCCUCUGACGUUAGCGGCGGACGGGUGAGUAACACGUGGAUAACCUACCUAUAAGACUGGGAUAACUUCGGGAAACCGGAGCUAAUACCGGAUAAUAUAUUGAACCGCAUGGUUCAAUAGUGAAAGACGGUUUUGCUGUCACUUAUAGAUGGAUCCGCGCCGCAUUAGCUAGUUGGUAAGGUAACGGCUUACCAAGGCAACGACGCGUAGCCGACCUGAGAGGGUGAUCGGCCACGCUGGAACUGAGACACGGUCCAGACUCCUACGGGAGGCAGCAGUAGGGAAUCUUCCGCAAUGGGCGAAAGCCUGACGGAGCAACGGCGCGUGAGUGAUGAAGGUCUUCGGAUCGUAAAACUCUGUUAUUAGGGAAGAACAAAUGUGUAAGUAACUAUGCACGUCUUGACGGUACCUAAUCAGAAAGCCACGGCUAACUACGUG